CUUAUUCUUUAAAAUCAUAAAACAAAUAUAAAUCACUUUAGAUAAUUAAGAUGAAUAUUUGAUUACUCACUAUAAUGGGAAUUUGUAGUGGUAGGAGUACUCCUAUUCUCGGUCCUCGGGCACAAUAUCUUUACCCUUAUAAGAGGGCUCACCACCUAUACAUAAUACACGACAUGUAAUUCAUUGUAUUUGUGCCAAAUUGUUAUAAAACUAUUUCAGGCUCUAUAUGAAUGUAUGACAUUGAAUGAGAAUUAUCCGAAUCAUCACUUAAAGACGAUGUUCUACGUGGGUUCAAUUAUGAUCGGACUGAAUUGGCAUUCGACCUAACUUGCACUAUGCCUUGUUUAAUUAGCCAAAACAUCCAAUUUAACUCCAAAUAUCUUCAUUACACUUCCAAUAUUUCAAAUACACCAAAGUACCUCAAUGAGCUUAAUUGUGACUUAAUUCACCGUAACCGAAAUUCAUUCCGAUUUCGAUAUCCGAUACCAUAAAUCAUCAAUUCCUAGCUAAAUAACAUGAAUUACAACCAAAUCCAUUAUCAACAUGCCUUAUAGAAAAUUCGGCCAAAUGAGAGUGGUUGAAGAACAUGUGAUUUUCUUGCUUGUUUUCCUUCCAAACAUCACAAAAUGACUAAAAACACUAAGGUAUUAUGGAAUCUAGCAAAAUUCAUCAUCAAAACUUCUCUCUCUAGAUUUGGCCAGCAAAGGUUCCCUCUUGAAAACUUGAAUUUCAGCCAUGGAGAAUGAAAAAGAAUGCAUGGGAAAGGUAGAUCACAAGCUAAAAUUAAAAAACUUUACCUUGCUUGAUUCCUUGAAAUCCAACAAUUUCUCUUGAAUUUUUCCUUCCUAGGGUUUGUUCUUCUCUUUUUCUCUUUGUUCCCUUGCUUGGCCGGC
Molecule: long non-coding RNA, 893 nt
Filed under: Theobroma cacao (cacao)
Lineage: Eukaryota; Viridiplantae; Streptophyta; Magnoliopsida; Malvales; Malvaceae
Description: long non-coding RNA (TCAC_LNC004496)
Source: RNAcentral